ACUGAUUGAACGUGCUUGCACGGACUUGACGUUGGUUUACCAGCGAGUGGCGGACGGGUGAGUAACACGUAGGUAACCUGCCCCAAAGCGGGGGAUAACAUUUGGAAACAGAUGCUAAUACCGCAUAACAAUUUGAAUCGCAUGAUUCAAAUUUAAAAGAUGGCUUCGGCUAUCACUUUGGGAUGGACCUGCGGCGCAUUAGCUUGUUGGUAGGGUAACGGCCUACCAAGGCUGUGAUGCGUAGCCGAGUUGAGAGACUGAUCGGCCACAAUGGAACUGAGACACGGUCCAUACUCCUACGGGAGGCAGCAGUAGGGAAUCUUCCACAAUGGGCGCAAGCCUGAUGGAGCAACACCGCGUGAGUGAAGAAGGGUUUCGGCUCGUAAAGCUCUGUUGUUAGAGAAGAACGUGCGUGAGAGCAACUGUUCACGCAGUGACGGUAUCUAACCAGAAAGUCACGGCUAACUACG
RNAcentral lists this ribosomal RNA (470 nucleotides) under Limosilactobacillus mucosae. RNAcentral describes it as "bacterial SSU rRNA". It matches the Rfam family "Bacterial small subunit ribosomal RNA", at positions 46 to 505 of the family's 1533-position model. The record is from RNAcentral. Lineage: Bacteria; Bacillati; Bacillota; Bacilli; Lactobacillales; Lactobacillaceae.